AGUGAACGCUGGCGGUAGGCCUAACACAUGCAAGUCGAACGGCAGCACAGUAAGAGCUUGCUCUUACGGGUGGCGAGUGGCGGACGGGUGAGGAAUACAUCGGAAUCUACUUUUUCGUGGGGGCUAACGUAGGGAAACUUACGCUAAUACCGCAUACGACCUACGGGUGAAAGCAGGGGAUCUUCGGACCUUGCGCGAUUGAAUUAGCCGAUGUCGGAUUAGCUCGUUGGCGGGGUAAAGGCCCACCAAGGCGACGAUCCGUAGCUGGUCUGAGAGGAUGAUCAGCCACACUGGAACUGAGACACGGUCCAGACUCCUACGGGAGGCAGCAGUGGGGAAUAUUGGACAAAGGGCGCAAGCCUGAUCCAGCCAUACCGCGUGGGUGAAGAAGGCCUUCGGGUUGUAAAGCCCUUUUGUUGGGAAAGAAAAGCAGCAGGUUAAUACCCCGCUGUUCUGACGGUACCCAAAGAAUAAGCACCGGCUAACUUCGUG
Molecule: ribosomal RNA, 492 nt
Filed under: uncultured bacterium
Lineage: Bacteria
Description: partial 16S ribosomal RNA
Rfam family: Bacterial small subunit ribosomal RNA
Source: RNAcentral